CCACCGGAAGGAGAGAGAAGGUGCUGCCCCGCGCCCCCACGAGGGAGGGCUAGGUGCGUCUGUACCGUAGUGUGAGGCGGUUCUGUGGCCACCGGCCGGGCGGGCUACAUCGGCCCUCUAGUAGGCAGACUGGCUGGUGUGUCGGGUUUCGGGGAGUUUGGCGGGGAGCCGGCGUAGAGGUGAGAGGUCGGCGUAUCUGUCGCGGGGUCCGCGUCACCAACGUGCUGGGGCUCGUUCUUGGUGCUCAGCUUUCUUGACUUCGUUUGAAGAAAAACAAGCGCGGUGGUUCACGGAGCUGCGGUGGGGGUAUAUGCGGAAAGGAGAAGUACCCGCUCAGCGUGAGGUUUAAGGAGGAAUAAUGCAGCAGGUGACUUUCACAGAAGUGGUGGCCUGGGUCGCCCAGGGCUGCGACGCGAGGGCCGGUAAGAAUCGGACGGUCUGAACCGGUGGCUCCUGCUUGAGGCAGCGGCACCUGUUGCGUUAAUGUGGAAACAUGCCCGGCCGGCUGGUCAUUUUUAAGCUUCCUGAAUCCGCCGGGGAGGUCAUUCGGUGUCAGAGGAGGAAGAGCCAUCUGGGCCCUCCCCACCUCGGUUCAGUUUAAAUUGAAGGCAUAUAGUGAGAGGAGGCGGGCUGAAAGGUCGCCGAGCCGGUCAGUGACAGAGGCAGGACUAGGGGUGAGAUUUCUUCGUUUCCAGCCUAGACUUCUGUCCUCCACAUCUUUUUUUUUUUUUUUUCUUAAGAUUUUAUCUAUUCUUGAGAGAGGCAGAGACACAGGCAGAGGGAGAAGCAGGCUCCAUGCGGGGAGCCUGAUGCGGGACUCGAUCUUGGGACUCCGGGAUCACGCCCCCCGGGCCAAAGGCAGGAGCUAAACCCCUGAGCCACUCAGGGAUCCCCUCCAAAGAGCUUUUUAUGUGAGAGAUAUAUAGAUAGCUCUAUCUAUAUAUCAGUAUUUUUAGUGUUGGAGAUUAAAACUGAGACAGGUUUUUAAACAAGAAUAUACAAGCAUAUACUGUUGUCAGAGUUAUGAAUGUCCUCACAUGCAUGUAGCCUCUGGUUAAACUCUGCUCUGUAGGUUCGUGGAAUAAGUGAAAGGGCAAAUAAUGUCUCAGUAUUAUGAAAGUAGUUGUGACCUGACUAAGCCUCUAAAAGGGUCUCAGGGGCCCCCACAAGAACCACACCCAACAGAACAACUGCUCUGGGCAAAUGGUCCAAAGAAAUCUGAGAUGAUGUAGACAUGAUUGCAAUUGCAAGUGGUGGUGACACGAGCAGAAGUAUUACCUUAAAAAUGCAGUAACAAGAAAGGAUCUUUUAUUUCCAGGACAUGUAUAAUUCCAGGCACGAGGAACACAUUAUCCAUUUUGUGUUCUUUUCAUCUCAUUGAUUUGUAUAGUGCUUCAGACAGUGGUUCAGACUAACUUCUAGAGAGUCAGGGCUAAGGAGAGACUCCACCCAUUGAGUGGAUUUGGACAUGCACAGGCUGUAGGCAGUUUCUACACCACUCAUUCCCCUGGCCAUUUAACUCUUGCUCACCUUCACCACCUGGGACCACAGCAGGUUACAGUCUGCACCUCUCAUCUCUCACUUCCAGAACUCGAGACUUCAGUGGAUUAGUAACUGCACAGAAAUGUACUCACUAAUGAAUUCAAUAAUUAUUACAGAAGUAGGUAAUGUUGAAAGUGCCUUUUACUUGACAGAAAUCCUUGGUAGAUAGUUAUAUGUGGUUAUUUUGGAGAGAUUGGCUUGAGAUUCUUUAAGGGCUGGGAACGUAGUUUUCCAAUAAUGAAAUAAUUUUAAAAUAAUGAAACCUAGGAUCUGAAAAUUCUGUCAGCUUUUUAGGAAGGGAUGAGAUUUCAAGAAUGAGAGGUGCCUCAUUUGUAGGAUUUUGUAGGAUUUUCAUCUAUGUAGGAUUUUCACCCUAUACCUGAUACAGAGAAGUUUGGCUAUAAUUUUCUGGGGGUGAGCAAGUCUCUCCCGUAAAAUGAUUUUUAAAAGACACUUGACAUUUGAGAAGGUUUAGCCUAUGGUUUUUAUAAGUCCCUGGGGUUAUCAUUACCUUUUCAGUAUAUCAUUUCUCCAUGAAAGUCUUAGAUUCUAAGACCGUAGAGAGUCAUGGUGUGGUGUGCUUUCAGAUCAGGCUU
This 2138-nucleotide long non-coding RNA is filed under the name Canis lupus familiaris (dog). Its description in RNAcentral is "lncRNA (ENSCAFG00845003886.1)". Lineage: Eukaryota; Metazoa; Chordata; Mammalia; Carnivora; Canidae. The record is from RNAcentral.